UACAGAGGUCCCAAGCGUUGUUCGGAUUCACUGGGCGUAAAGGGUGCGUAGGCGGUCGGGUAAGUCUGAUGUGAAAUCUCACAGCUUAACUGUGAAACUGCAUUGGAUACUAUUCGGCUUGAGAGUUGGAGGGGGGACUGGAAUUCUUGGUGUAGCAGUGAAAUGCGUAGAUAUCAAGAGGAACACCAAUGGCGAAGGCAGCUCACUGGGACGUUACUGACACUGAGACGCGAAAGCGUGGGGAGCAAACAGG
RNAcentral lists this ribosomal RNA (253 nucleotides) under uncultured bacterium. Its description in RNAcentral is "partial 16S ribosomal RNA". It matches the Rfam family "Bacterial small subunit ribosomal RNA", at positions 524 to 776 of the family's 1533-position model. The record is from RNAcentral.